Molecule: ribosomal RNA, 253 nt
Filed under: uncultured bacterium
Lineage: Bacteria
Description: partial 16S ribosomal RNA
Rfam family: Bacterial small subunit ribosomal RNA
Source: RNAcentral
UACGGAGGGUGCAAGCGUUAUCCGGAUUCAUUGGGUUUAAAGGGUGCGUAGGCGGGAAAUUAAGUCAGUGGUGAAAGCCCACAGCUCAACUGUGGAACUGCCAUUGAAACUGAUUUUCUUGAAUAUGAUUGAAGUGGGCGGAAUAUGACAUGUAGCGGUGAAAUGCUUAGAUAUGUCAUAGAACACCGAUAGCGAAGGCAGCUCACUAAGUCAUUAUUGACGCUGAGGCACGAAAGCGUGGGGAGCGAACAGG